This 253-nucleotide ribosomal RNA is filed under the name uncultured bacterium. RNAcentral describes it as "partial 16S ribosomal RNA". It matches the Rfam family "Bacterial small subunit ribosomal RNA", at positions 524 to 776 of the family's 1533-position model. The record is from RNAcentral.
UACGAAGGGGGCGAGCGUUGUUCGGAUUUACUGGGCGUAAAGGGCGCGCAGGCGGUUCUGUUUGUCGAGUGUGAAAGCCCCGGGCUCAACCUGGGAACUGCGCUCGAAACGGCGGAACUAGAGUUCGGGAGAGGAGAGUGGAAUUCCCAGUGUAGAGGUGAAAUUCGUAGAUAUCGGGAGGAACACCAGUGGCGAAGGCGGCGACCUGGACGGAUAUUGACGCUGAGGUGCGAAAGCGUGGGGAGCAAACAGG